CAGUCGCCGCGGGAAUACGAAGGGUGCAAGCGUUAAUCGGAAUUACUGGGCGUAAAGCGUGCGUAGGCGGUUUGUUAAGUCUGUUGUGAAAUCCCCGGGCUCAACCUGGGAAUGGCAAUGGAUACUGGCAAGCUAGAGUGUGUCAGAGGAUGGUGGAAUUCCCGGUGUAGCGGUGAAAUGCGUAGAGAUCGGGAGGAACAUCAGUGGCGAAGGCGGCCAUCUGGGACAACACUGACGCUGAGGCACGAAAGCGUGGGGAGCAAACAGGAUUAGAUACCCCUGUAGUCCCUGUCUCUUAUAA
Molecule: ribosomal RNA, 301 nt
Filed under: uncultured bacterium
Lineage: Bacteria
Description: partial 16S ribosomal RNA
Rfam family: Bacterial small subunit ribosomal RNA
Source: RNAcentral